Molecule: ribosomal RNA, 492 nt
Filed under: uncultured bacterium
Lineage: Bacteria
Description: bacterial SSU rRNA
Rfam family: Bacterial small subunit ribosomal RNA
Source: RNAcentral
AUUGAACGCUGGCGGCAUGCCUAACACAUGCAAGUCGAACGGCAGCACAGCAGUAGCAAUACUGUGGGUGGCGAGUGGCGGACGGGUGAGGAAUACGUCGGAAUCUGCCCAGUCGUGGGGGAUAACUAGCCGAAAGGUUAGCUAAUACCGCAUACGACCGAGAGGUGAAAGCGGGGGACCGCAAGGCCUCGCGCGAUUGGAUGAGCCGACGUCGGAUUAGCUAGUUGGUAGGGUAACGGCCUACCAAGGCGAUGAUGGGUAGCUGGUCUGAGAGGAUGAUCAGCCACACUGGAACUGAGACACGGUCCAGACUCCUACGGGAGGCAGCAGUGGGGAAUAUUGCGCAAUGGGCGAAAGCCUGACGCAGCCACGCCGCGUGAGUGAUGAAGGCCUUCGGGUCGUAAAACUCUGUCGGGAGGGACGAAGGGGGCGAACCCUGGCGGUACCUCGCAAGAAAGCACCGGCUAACUCUGUGCCAGCAGCCGCGGUAAU